This 274-nucleotide ribosomal RNA is filed under the name uncultured bacterium. RNAcentral's name for it is "partial 16S ribosomal RNA". It matches the Rfam family "Bacterial small subunit ribosomal RNA", at positions 523 to 796 of the family's 1533-position model. The record is from RNAcentral.
AUACGGAGGGUGCAAGCGUUACUCGGAAUCACUGGGCGUAAAGCGCGCGCAGGCGGGCUGAUAAGUUGGAUGUGAAAGCCUACGGCUCAACCGUAGAACUGCAUCCAAAACUGUCAGUCUAGAGUGUGGGAGAGGAAGAUGGAAUUAGUUGUGUAGGGGUAAAAUCCGUAGAGAUAACUAGGAAUACCAAAAGCGAAGGCAAUCUUCUGGAACACUACUGACGCUGAGGCGCGAAAGCGUGGGGAGCAAACAGGAUUAGAAACCCCGGUAGUCC